This 200-nucleotide long non-coding RNA is filed under the name Elaeis guineensis (African oil palm). Its description in RNAcentral is "long non-coding RNA (EGUI_LNC059842)". The record is from RNAcentral. Lineage: Eukaryota; Viridiplantae; Streptophyta; Magnoliopsida; Arecales; Arecaceae.
UUGCUCUCCUUUCUUUCUUACAACCUAUCUUAGUUUUAGGACAAGGCUUUAGAAUUUAAGACAAAGCCUUAUCUGAUCCUAACAAGGGUUGUAAGGGUCCUAAAGAAGGAGAAUUAGAAGUUCAGAGGAGGUUCUAAGAGGGUGAGGUCAGAUUCUUAAAGAAACUUGACCGAUACAAGGCUAGUCGAAUUCUACGGGCU